Streptococcus pneumoniae 670-6B is the source of this 122-nucleotide non-coding RNA. The record is from Rfam. Lineage: Bacteria; Bacillati; Bacillota; Bacilli; Lactobacillales; Streptococcaceae.
GCGUUCUUCAAGCGAGCUUGGGAUAGUGGGAGCCAAGUAGGGCAAAAUAAAGGGCUGGCGCUUUCUGUAGUAUUUUCAAAAACAAUGAAGUAAUAAAUUAGGGUGGAACCGCGUUUCUGACG